CUGAGGGUGUAUGUGCUUCUUGUCCUAUUACUUGGUGCUACUGGAUAGCUGCCUAGGGGUUCUGGCUUGAUGGCCCUGUGCCAUGGGCUAGGCACUGCCGGGCCUGCUUUGUGGCUACCCUCAACUCCAAGCUUGGCUUCCCCUGGGGACCAGUCCCAUUCUUACUCAUAUGUGUUUUAGGAGCACAAGUGAGCAGUGUUUUGUAGUUUACCAGCUGUAUGGGAACUGUUGAAUCAUGGCCUGAGACUGAUUGAUCAGCUGAGGCAAGCACUGAGUCAGCUGCAGGAGCACAGCUGAAGGCAAUUCACCUGUGUGACCAGAAGGGGUAGAGCCUGGCUCCACCUCUCCUAGAGCCCCUAUUUAAGGGCUGACAGCCACUGAGGAAGGAUCUCUUUCUGGAGAUUGGUCCCUUUAGAGUUUUUCUGCAAGCCUAGAAUAUUGAUAUGCGUUCAUGAAAUGUUGUACCUGCAGAAGAAAAUCAAAGACUGCCAUCUUGGACCACUCAUGAUGAUGGAUUUCAGUACAGCCCCACUCAUCUUUGGGAACUUUACCAUUCUGCCAGCAUUUCUGCUUCAGUAGUUGUUGAUAUUUUCCCCAGGUUAAUCUCACUGAAGAAUGAGUAUUGUUAUCAGUUGGACUCAGUGAAGAAUCCCAGAGAAUAACAGGACACGCUUG
Molecule: long non-coding RNA, 675 nt
Filed under: Gallus gallus (chicken)
Lineage: Eukaryota; Metazoa; Chordata; Aves; Galliformes; Phasianidae
Description: long non-coding RNA NONGGAT006792
Source: RNAcentral